UGAGGAAUCUUCCGCAAUGGGCGCAAGCCUGACGGAGCGACACCGCGUGGAGGAUGAAGCCCUUCUUGGGCGUAAACUCCUGUUCUGAGGGACGAAAUUUUUGACGGUACCUCAGGAGAAAGUAUCGGCUAACCCUGUGCCAGCAGCCGCGGUAAGACAGGGGAUACAAGCAUUACUCGGAAUUACUGGGCGUAAAGCGUCUGUAGGCGACCAAGCAAGUCGGGGGUGAAAUCCUGGGGCUCAACCCCAGAACUGCCUUUGAUACUGGCUGUCUCGAGGUCGAGAGAGGUUGGUGGAAUUCCUAGUGUAGAGGUGAAAUUCGUAGAUAUUAGGAAGAACACCAGUGGCGAAGGCGGCCAACUGGCUCGAUACUGACGCUGAGGUGCGAAAGCGUGGGGAGCAAACAGGAUUAGAUACCCACGUAGUCCCUGAGCGGGCUGGCAAGGCGCAU
This 451-nucleotide ribosomal RNA is filed under the name uncultured bacterium. RNAcentral describes it as "bacterial SSU rRNA". It matches the Rfam family "Bacterial small subunit ribosomal RNA", at positions 355 to 825 of the family's 1533-position model. The record is from RNAcentral.